This 69-nucleotide transfer RNA is filed under the name Pseudaesopia japonica (wavyband sole). Its description in RNAcentral is "tRNA-Asp". It matches the Rfam family "tRNA". Rfam says of the family: Transfer RNA (tRNA) molecules are approximately 80 nucleotides in length. Their secondary structure includes four short double-helical elements and three loops (D, anti-codon, and T loops). Further hydrogen bonds mediate the characteristic L-shaped molecular structure. tRNAs have two regions of fundamental functional importance: the anti-codon, which is responsible for specific mRNA codon recognition, and the 3' end, to which the tRNAs corresponding amino acid is attached (by aminoacyl-tRNA synthetases). tRNAs cope with the degeneracy of the genetic code in two manners: having more than one tRNA (with a specific anti-codon) for a particular amino acid; and 'wobble' base-pairing, i.e. permitting non-standard base-pairing at the 3rd anti-codon position. The record is from RNAcentral. Lineage: Eukaryota; Metazoa; Chordata; Actinopteri; Pleuronectiformes; Soleidae.
AAGACACUAGUAAAAACAUUACACUACCUUGUCAAGGUAAAAUUGUGGGUUAAACCCCCACGUAUCUUG